UGAUUAGAUACCCGUGUAGUCCCAGCCGUAAACGAUGCUCGCUAGGUGUCAGGCAUGGCGCGACCGUGUCUGGUGCCGCAGGGAAGCCGUGAAGCGAGCCACCUGGGAAGUACGGCCGCAAGGCUGAAACUUAAAGGAAUUGGCGGGGGAGCACAACAACGGGUGGAGCCUGCGGUUUAAUUGGACUCAACGCCGGACAACUCACCGGGGACGACAGCAAUAUGUAGGCCAGGCUGAAGACCUUGCCUGAAUCGCUGAGAGGAGGUGCAUGGCA
Molecule: ribosomal RNA, 274 nt
Filed under: Methanosarcinaceae archaeon
Lineage: Archaea; Methanobacteriati; Methanobacteriota; Methanomicrobia; Methanosarcinales; Methanosarcinaceae
Description: partial 16S ribosomal RNA
Rfam family: Archaeal small subunit ribosomal RNA
Source: RNAcentral